This 71-nucleotide transfer RNA is filed under the name Ovis aries (sheep). It matches the Rfam family "tRNA". Rfam says of the family: Transfer RNA (tRNA) molecules are approximately 80 nucleotides in length. Their secondary structure includes four short double-helical elements and three loops (D, anti-codon, and T loops). The record is from Rfam by way of RNAcentral. Lineage: Eukaryota; Metazoa; Chordata; Mammalia; Artiodactyla; Bovidae.
UUCCCGGUGGCUCAACAAUAAAGAAUCUGCCUGCAAUGCAGGAGACUAGGGUUCGAUCCCUGGUUGGGAAG